UCGGCCAGCCACAGCUCCAAGAAUACGCGGAGGAGGUGGCCAGGGUCGGCGUCGGCGCCGUCCGGCGCGGGCCAUGGGCCCGCUUCCAAGUGCGUCUGCACGCCGGCCACCCACGCCGAGUCCUUCAAGUGCCGCUUCCACCGCACCAACUCCCAGGGCCACGGCCACGGCCAGGGCCAGGGAAGCCGCCCUUCUUCGCCCCCUUCACCGGCCGCGGCCAACGCGGUGCCGCGACACCCGACCUCGCCGUCCUCGUCCUCCGGCACCGUCGCGACCCAGUGA
RNAcentral lists this ribosomal RNA (282 nucleotides) under Triticum aestivum (bread wheat). Its description in RNAcentral is "partial small subunit ribosomal RNA". The record is from RNAcentral. Lineage: Eukaryota; Viridiplantae; Streptophyta; Magnoliopsida; Poales; Poaceae.